GGAUCGGAGAAGCGUCAUGCAUGUCACCGUGACUUGCAAAGCAGCUAGCAUAGGGAACAUCGAGAGAGAGAUGAGGGUAGCGAUGGUGGGUUCCGGCCUAAGCGGGCUAGUGGCGGCGCAUGAGCUAGCGAGAAGUGGCGGCGUGCGUGUCACCGUGUACGAGAAGGAGGACCAUCUCGGCGGCGCCAAGACCGUUGCCGUGGACGGCGGAGCAGAAGAAGGCCGUGUCCUCGUCGACCUCGGCCCCGUGGUCUUCAACCCGGUGACAAGCCCAAACUUGAUGGAAUGGUUUGAAAGGCUAGGGGUGGAGAUGUGCACAUCAGACAUGUCAUUCUCAGCAAGUAUGCGGCUAAACAAAAGUAGUGAAAGCUUCGAAUGGGGUAGCCGCAGUGGUAUGUCUGGUGUUCUGGCGCAGAAGAGCAAUUUGCUUAGCCCCAGAUUCUGGCUCGUGGUCCAUGAGAUAUUCAAGUUCAAGAAUCACGCCCUCAAGUACCUGGAGGACCACAGAAGUGGUCCUAACCGCAAUGAAACUUUGGGGCAAUUCAUUCUAUCACAUAGAUAUUCGCAGCUCUUCCAGGAUGCCUACCUUAUUCCAAUGUGUGCAUGCAUUUGGCCCAGUCCGUCACACGAAAUCCUGGGCUUCCCUGCUCUCUUUGUUCUUUCAUUUUUCCGCGACAAUCAGCUACUUGAGAUUUUGAGUGGCUCAAAAUGGCUUACGGUCAAAGGUGGCUCGGGGUCCUACGUGAACAAGAUAAGGGAAGAAUUGGAGAGUAAUGGUUGUCAGAUCAAGAUUGGCUGUGAAGUCAACUCUAUUUCAAAGUCGAACGAUGGAUACCAAAUUUUAGAGGUUGAUGGUUCGGUGGAGACGUACGAUAGGAUCAUAAUAGGUAUUAAUGCACAUGAUGCACUAAAAGUAUUAGGAGCUGAAGCAACAAAUGAGGAACUGAAGAAUCUAGGAGCUUUCCAUUUUAUCCGGAGUAUCGCGUACCUCCACUCUGAUGAAAGUCUGAUGCCGCGUAAUUCCUCUGCAUGGAGCGCUAGGAACUUCUUGGGGACAACAAGCAGUGGUGUCUGUGUUACCUCCUGGCUAAAUAUACUUGAGAACAUUGAAUCUGCCGGGCCUCUACUUGUGACACUUAACCCUCCUCGUGUUCCCAAUCAUGUAUUGCUUAAAUGUCAUAUUAGCCAUCCAAUUCCUUCCAUUGCUGCUGCAAAGGCUAAUCUUCAGCUCAACAGCAUUCAAGGAAAGAGGGGCAUCUGGUUCUGUGGCUCAUAUCAAGGCUAUGGAUACCAUGAGGACAGUGUUAAGGCUGGGAAAGCAGCAGCUUUAGGAUUGCUUGGAAGGAAAUGUGACCUUUUGUCUAACCCAAAACCGAUGGUCUCAUCGUGGACAGAGGCGGGCGCACGUCUUCUUGUAGCAAGAAGCCUAGACCAAUACAUAACCAUUGGUAACUUCUGUAUACUCGAAGAAGGAGGCACUACAUUCAGUUUUGGUAAAGCAUGCGAAAAAUGUCAUGUAAAAUCUGCGAUACGCGUUCACGAUCCCCAGUUCUAUUGGAAGGCUGCAACAGAAGGAGACCUUGGCUUUGCAUCUGCCUACAUCAAUGGCCAAAUCUCAUUUGUUGAUCACCGAAAAGGCCUUGUGAACCUUGUACGGAUCAUACUGGCUAAUAGAGGUGAGUUCAAGAGGUUGAGCAGCACUGCUAGUGGCAAUACAAGGAAAGCCUGGUGGUCGCCGUUGCUUGGAAUUACUGGAGUCUCAUUUGCAAAAUACUUUUUGCGUCAUGCCUUGCGGAAGAAUAGUGUAUCCAAAGCUCGUAAAAAUAUAUCUGAACACUACGAUCUGAGUAAUGAUUUCUUCGCUCUUUAUCUGGAUCCAUCAAUGACGUACUCUUCUGGCAUUUUUAAGGUGGCGGAGGAGAGCUUAGAAACAGCCCAACUACGCAAACUUGACAGUCUCAUUAACAAGGCUAAGGUGGAGCCAGGGCACCAUGUUCUUGACAUUGGUUGUGGUUGGGGCACUUUAGCAAUACGGUUGGUGAAGCAAACCGGUUGCAAGUACACAGGAAUCACAUUAUCUGAGGAGCAACUGAAAUACGCGAAGAGAAAGGUGAAAGAAUCUGGGUUAGAGGACCGCAUAACUUUGCUCCUUUGCGAUUACCGUCAACUACCGGCAGGCGAUAAGUUUGACAGGAUUAUAAGCUGUGAAAUGAUUGAACAUGUUGGGCAUGAGUACAUGGAUGAUUUCUUCGGGUGCUGCGAGUAUCAUUUGGCAGAGCAUGGCCUACUUGUCCUCCAGUCCAUCGCGCUCCCAGAAGAAUUGUAUGACAAAAUGAGGAUGCGGCCCGAGUUUCUCAAGACAUAUAUCUUCCCCGGUGGCUGCCUACCUUCUCUAGGCCGGAUUGUGUCUGCCAUGUCUAAUGCAUCAAGGCUCAACAUUCAGCACCUUGAGAAUAUUGGGGACCACUACUACACUACCCUAAUGAACUGGAGGGACAACUUCGUGGCCAACAGAGAGUAAAUACAAUAUAUACCACCACAAACUCAAGCUAACGCCUCAUCUAUAUAUAAAAGCUUCUGCGCUUGGAUUUGACGACAAAUUCAUCCGUACCUGGGAGUAUUAUUUAAGUUACGCUGCGGCUUUGUUCAAAUCACGCACAGCUAUAGAUUACCAGAUAGUGUUUGCUCGGCCAGGCGAUUCAAAGCUACCAAGCUAUGUUGCCAUUGCAUAAAAUAAAUGGAUAGGAUCGAGAUGAUGCUGUGUUAUGCGUGUGUGUGUGUGAGAGAGAGAAAUUUAUUCAGUCAUGUACGUGCAUGUGUGUUGGAGAGCAGCAGCAGGCCAGCUGCUGCAUGCUGUGUGGCUUGGAUAGAUGCAUGCGUGUGGUAUAUAGUACUACUAGAAGUCUGCAUGCAUAUGUCUGCUAGCGGUGCUUUCAUUUGCACUCGAGUCGCUCCACGUAAGAGGUGAAAUAAUAGUGGUUAAGGCAUCUGAUCGAGUGCUUGGCAAAAACAUGAUGUUAAGUUGACAACUUGUAAUAAUAUUACUUAAAUAUGUAGAGAAUUGUUCUUUUAAAUAAAAAAGAAGAGGCGCUAAUGUGAAGA
This is an RNA transcript of Zea mays, 3102 nucleotides long. It is a transcript of the gene named Cyclopropane-fatty-acyl-phospholipid synthase, with no coding region annotated. The record is from RefSeq and is a predicted model, not a curated record. The transcript has 24 exons. Lineage: Eukaryota; Viridiplantae; Streptophyta; Magnoliopsida; Poales; Poaceae.